RNAcentral lists this ribosomal RNA (742 nucleotides) under uncultured Clostridium sp. RNAcentral's name for it is "bacterial SSU rRNA". It matches the Rfam family "Bacterial small subunit ribosomal RNA", at positions 73 to 830 of the family's 1533-position model. The record is from RNAcentral. Lineage: Bacteria; Bacillati; Bacillota; Clostridia; Eubacteriales; Clostridiaceae.
CAAGUCUUCGGACUUUUUCUAGCGGCGGACGGGUGAGUAACACGUGGGCAACCUGCCUGGUAGAGGGGGAUAGCCUUCCGAAAGGAAGAUUAAUACCGCAUAACAUGGUUUCAGGGCAUCCUGAAAUCAUCAAAGGAGCAAUCCGCUAUCAGAUGGGCCCGCGUCCCAUUAGCUAGUUGGUGAGGUAACGGCUCACCAAGGCGACGAUGGGUAGCCGACCUGAGAGGGUGAUCGGCCACAUUGGGACUGAGACACGGCCCAGACUCCUACGGGAGGCAGCAGUGGGGAAUAUUGCACAACGGGGGAAACCCUGAUGCAGCAACGCCGCGUGAGUGAUGAAGGCCUUCGGGUUGUAAAGCUCUGUCUUCAGGGACGAUAAUGACGGUACCUGAGGAGGAAGCCACGGCUAACUACGUGCCAGCAGCCGCGGUAAUACGUAGGUGGCAAGCGUUGUCCGGAUUUACUGGGGCGGAAAGGGAGCGUAGGCGGAUAUUUAAGUGGGAUGUGAAAUACCUGGGCUUAACUUGGGUGCUGCAUUCCAAACUGGAUAUCUGGAGUGUUGGAGAGGAAAGUGGAAUUCCUAGUGUAGCGGUGAAAUGCGUAGAGAUUAGGAAGAACACCAGUGGCGAAGGCGACUGUUCUGGACAAUAACUGACGCUGAGGCUCGAAAGCGUGGGGAGCAAACAGGAUUAGAUACUCUGGUAGUCCACGCCGUAAACGAUGGGUACUAGGUGUAGGGGGG